CUGAGCAUCUGUUCAUUUAUCUGAGUUCAGGUUCUGGUAAUGCUAGACCUGUUAAUUCCACAGAGACUCUGUUGUUUUGCUGUCUUUUCAGUGGCAACAUUUGGAGGUGUUUCAGUAAGGAGUCCCCCGCAGCUUGUAGCACAUCCGGCGCCCCAAGGAUACUACAAAAAGGGGAGUUAACAUGGCCGGCAUUCCCCAGGAAGCCCCCCACGGACAACAACCAGGGAAAAGCCUUGGGAAACUCUUGGGUGUGGAUGUAACCACAGAGCUGAGGACAACCAACCAGUAAAGACAGGUUUAUGGGAUUGACUUAUAGAGAGCUCAACAUUCCACUGAUCUAUACAUGGCAACUCAACAGUGGAGAAAUCAAACCUCCCUGCCUCAGACUGAGUGCCCAGGCACAGCACUGCUGAUACAGACUUACAUAACCCUGCAAUCGCAUGACUAGACCCCAUGUUUCCAUGGCUAAAAACCUUCUUGUUCUUUAAUAGCCUCUGUCUGAGUGAAGGUGACAUAAGCUUUAUCUGAUCCUUGGAAAAGACCCAGAAUGCUCUCGCUCUAGGACUGAAAGAGAGGCUAUUGUGGAUUAGAUGCUGAAAAUUAAUAAAUCUCCUGCAAAUUUUGACUUUUUUUUUUUA
Molecule: long non-coding RNA, 638 nt
Filed under: Astyanax mexicanus (Mexican tetra)
Lineage: Eukaryota; Metazoa; Chordata; Actinopteri; Characiformes; Acestrorhamphidae
Description: lncRNA (ENSAMXG00005012451.1)
Source: RNAcentral